This 389-nucleotide ribosomal RNA is filed under the name Syndiniales sp. RNAcentral describes it as "partial small subunit ribosomal RNA". It matches the Rfam family "Eukaryotic small subunit ribosomal RNA", at positions 582 to 975 of the family's 1831-position model. The record is from RNAcentral. Lineage: Eukaryota; Dinophyceae; Syndiniales.
AUUCCAGCUCCAAUAGCGUAUAUUAAAGUUGUUGUGGUUAAAAAGCUCGUAGUUGGAUUUCUGUCGAGGAUGGCCGGUCCGCACUUUGUGCGUGCAUCUGGUUCAGCCUUGGCAUCCUCCUGGGGAACGUAUCUGCGCUUAAUUGCGUGGUGCGGUAUCCAGGACUUUUACUUUGAGGAAAUUAGGGUGUUCGCGGCAGGCAAACGCCUUGAAUACAUUAGCAUGGAAUAAUAAUAUAGGACCUUGGUCCCAUUUUGUUGGUUUCUGGAACUGAGGUAAUGAUUAAUAGGGAUAAUUGGGGGCAUUCGUAUUAACGUGUCAGAGGUGGAAUUCUUGGAUUACGUUACGACGAACUACUGCGAAAGCAUUUGCCAAGGAUGUUUUCAUUA